UACAGAGACUGCAAGCGUUAUUCGGAUUCACUGGGCGUAAAGGGUGCGCAGGCGGCCGAGUGUGUGAGGCGUGAAAGCCCGGGGCUUAACCCCGGAAUUGCACCUCAAACUACACGGCUAGAGCAUUGGAGAGGGUAGCAGAAUUCAUGGUGUAGCAGUGAAAUGCGUAGAUAUCGGGAGGAACACCAGUGGCGAAGGCGACUACCUGGCCUGUUUCUUGACGCUGAGGCGCGAAAGCUAGGGGAGCAAACGGG
This 254-nucleotide ribosomal RNA is filed under the name uncultured bacterium. RNAcentral's name for it is "partial 16S ribosomal RNA". It matches the Rfam family "Bacterial small subunit ribosomal RNA", at positions 524 to 776 of the family's 1533-position model. The record is from RNAcentral.